AUGGAGCUAAGCAAUGCAUUACACAAGCUGUUGUUGAUGUUUUCUCACGUGGUGAUGAGAUGCAGGGGCAGGGGGAGGUUUCUCUUCUAUUACUUCCAGUUUACAAAAUAUCUUUUCAGGUACAAGCCUGACAAAUUGCUUGCCAGCGACGGCUUCGCGGACCAGCUGCCGGAGAUCGCCGAGGCCACCAGGGGCAAGGAAACCGUCGUCUUCCAGUGCGCCUUCAGCCAGGAUACAGUCAUUCUGAUACUCGAUGCGUUGUACCGUGGUCGCGACUAUGCUAGGUUCUUUGUGCUCGAGACCAUCGCCAGAGUGUUGUAUUUCGGAACUGCACCUAACAUAAGCCACAAACAGGCACUCCUAGAGGUGUCAAGUACUUUGGCGAGCUGGAGAAAUGUUACUUCUAGGGCAAUGAAGUGA
RNAcentral lists this ribosomal RNA (420 nucleotides) under Triticum aestivum (bread wheat). RNAcentral's name for it is "partial small subunit ribosomal RNA". The record is from RNAcentral. Lineage: Eukaryota; Viridiplantae; Streptophyta; Magnoliopsida; Poales; Poaceae.